UCCCUGGUGGUCCAGCAGUUAGGACUCUGCACUUCUACUGCUGGGGCACAGGUUUGAUUCCUGGUCAUGGAA
RNAcentral lists this transfer RNA (72 nucleotides) under Ovis aries (sheep). It matches the Rfam family "tRNA". From Rfam's summary of the family: Transfer RNA (tRNA) molecules are approximately 80 nucleotides in length. Their secondary structure includes four short double-helical elements and three loops (D, anti-codon, and T loops). The record is from Rfam by way of RNAcentral. Lineage: Eukaryota; Metazoa; Chordata; Mammalia; Artiodactyla; Bovidae.